AUGUCAGUUCUAGGUACUGGUGCUGAAGUGGAUUAUCUGGAGCAGUUUGGAACUUCCUCAUUUAAGGAGUCAGCCUGGAGGAAGCAGUCUUUGUACUUGAAAUUUGACCCCCUUCUUUGAAAGAGAGCCCUUUGUGGCCAACGCCAGUGGCCCCAGUGACAAAUAGUACACAGGAUACAGAGGAGUCUGGCUCUGGAAAUCUGAUAGAAGCCAAGCUUGUGGACUUAGAUUUCUUGGGAGGUCUGGAUGUUUCUGUAUCAGCCCCACCCCUGUGUGUCCUUGAGCCUAGAGGUCUCCUCGGUGCUGAGCCUUUUGUGGAUGUGCUGAAACAGCCAAAAAGACCUGGAUGCAGAGGUGAAUGUGAUGAAGCAGGAGAACUUGGGGCUGAGAAGCAAGUAUGAGGACCUCAACGCAAAGUAUUUGAAGAUGGGGAAGAUUGCUGAGGGGUUUGAGAAGAUUGUGUACAAGUCAAUGGAGGAGGCUGAGAAACAGAAGGAACUAGCCAAAGACAAAAUCCAAAAGGUUUUAAAAGAGAGAGACCAACUUAAUGCAGACCUGAACUCCAUGGAAAAGUCCUUCUUUGACCUUUUUCUAGCGGUUUGAAGAGCAGGAGGAAGUGAUUGAAGGCUACCAGAAGAAUGGAGAGUCACCGAAGAAGUGUGUUGAGGAGUACAUAGAGAAGAUUGGAAAAGAAGGCUUGAGGUACCAGGUGCUGAAGGCCCAUGCAGAACAAAAUCUCAAGCUGGCAAAUGAGGAGAUCACCCAAAUACACAGCAAGGGCCUGGCUUUGCAGGCAAGCCUGAGGAAAGCACAGAUGCAGAUCCACUCACUGGAGAAGACUGUGGAGCAGAAGACUAAAGAAAACGAUGAGCUGACAAGGAUCUGUGAUGACCUAUCUCUAAGAUGGAGAAGAUCUGA
Molecule: RNA transcript, 918 nt
Organism: Mastomys coucha (southern multimammate mouse)
Lineage: Eukaryota; Metazoa; Chordata; Mammalia; Rodentia; Muridae
Gene name: transforming acidic coiled-coil-containing protein 3-like
Exons: 2
Source: RefSeq, a predicted model, not a curated record